AAAUUAUGAAGAGGACACUUCCUUAGAAGUUCUCCAAAUCGCUCCCACACAUUAAAUAGGGAUCCAAACUCAUACUGCUGAAAACUAAAAAUUUCUGCCAUAAGCUU
Small nucleolar RNA from Abrus precatorius (Indian licorice), 107 nucleotides. The record is from RefSeq and is a predicted model, not a curated record. Lineage: Eukaryota; Viridiplantae; Streptophyta; Magnoliopsida; Fabales; Fabaceae.